RNAcentral lists this unclassified non-coding RNA (145 nucleotides) under uncultured Ascomycota. Its description in RNAcentral is "sequence contains ITS2". The record is from RNAcentral. Lineage: Eukaryota; Fungi; Ascomycota.
CGACCAUCGAGCACCGCUCGGUAUUGGGCGUCGCCUCAGGGCGCGCCCUAAAGGCAGUGGCGACGCCGUCCGGCCUCCAGCGUAGUAAAAAACAUCGCUUCGGGACCGUCCGGCCGUCCGCCAUGAGACACCAAUCUUUCACACA